UACGGAAGGGGCUAGCGUUGUUCGGAAUUACUGGGCGUAAAGCGCGCGUAGGCGGCUGGGUAAGUGUGGCGUGAAAGUCCUGGGCUCAACCUGGGGACGGCGCUGCAGACUGCCUGGCUGGAGUCCGGAAGAGGGUAGUGGAAUUCCGAGUGUAGAGGUGAAAUUCGUAGAUAUUCGGAGGAACACCGGUGGCGAAGGCGGCUACCUGGUCCGGUACUGACGCUGAAGUGCGAAAGCGUGGGGAGCAAACAGG
RNAcentral lists this ribosomal RNA (253 nucleotides) under uncultured bacterium. RNAcentral's name for it is "partial 16S ribosomal RNA". It matches the Rfam family "Bacterial small subunit ribosomal RNA", at positions 524 to 776 of the family's 1533-position model. The record is from RNAcentral.